UAAAUAUUAGCCGGCAGCGGGAUCCUGUCUGUGUGGAGUUUGCACGUUCUCCUCGUACCUGCGCGGGUUCCCUCUGGACACGCCGGCUUCCUCCAGCAGUCCAAAGACAUUACGGCUAAUUGGUGACCCCAAAUUGCCGAUUAUAAUCAUGAAGUGGAUUUCCUUCUAUUUGCCUUGUUAUAAGAAGUCCCUGCACCGAGACUAAGAACAUUGUUCACUGGAUGUUGCGUCAAUCUCCGGUCACAAGCCGCACAGAGCACUCAAGGCCCAUAUCCUCCCCGGACAGUCGGAGCGCACCCAGACUGCAGGGGGCGACGAUGCGGCUAAUGGUGAUUCCACCCACAGGAAGUGCCUGCGUACGAACAGGAAGCGCAUGGCAUAAAAUGUUUGUGGAGAGCUCAGAUGGCCCUCUCACUCGGCCCUGAGGAAAAGGACACUGUGGCCACAGCUCCUAAUCUCCCAGA
This is a long non-coding RNA of Gasterosteus aculeatus aculeatus (three-spined stickleback), 464 nucleotides long. Lineage: Eukaryota; Metazoa; Chordata; Actinopteri; Perciformes; Gasterosteidae. The record is from Ensembl.